UCCGAGUUGACCCCGGCAGUAUCCCAUGAGUUCCCACCAUUACGUGCUGGCAACAUAGGACGAGGGUUGCGCUCGUUGCGGGACUUAACCCAACAUCUCACGACACGAGCUGACGACAACCAUGCACCACCUGUAUACGAGUGUCCAAAGAGUUCACUGUCUCCAGUGCGUUCUCGUAUAUGUCAAGCCUUGGUAAGGUUCUUCGCGUUGCAUCGAAUUAAUCCGCAUGCUCCGCCGCUUGUGCGGGCCCCCGUCAAUUCCUUUGAGUUUUAGCCUUGCGGCCGUACUCCCCAGGCGGGGAACUUAAUGCGUUAGCUACGGCACGGAACCCGUGGAAUGGAUCCCACACCUAGCGCCCAACGUUUACGGUGUGGACUAC
Molecule: unclassified non-coding RNA, 379 nt
Filed under: uncultured Micrococcales bacterium
Lineage: Bacteria; Bacillati; Actinomycetota; Actinomycetes; Micrococcales
Description: contains 16S-23S intergenic spacer region
Source: RNAcentral